AAUAUUCGACAAUGGGCGAAAGCCUGAUCCAGCCAUGCCGCGUGUGUGAAGAAGGUCUUCGGAUUGUAAAGCACGUUAAGUUGGGAGGAAGGGCCUUAGGUUAAUACCCUGAAGUUUUGACGUUACCAACAGAAUAAGCACCGGCUAACUCUGUGCCAGCAGCCCCGGUAAUACAGAGGGUGCAAGCGUUAAUCGGAAUUACUGGACGUAAAGCGCGCGUAGGUGGUUCAGUAAGAUGGGUGUGAAAUCCCCGGGCUUAACCUGGGAACUGCUUUCAAAACUGGCAAGCUAGAGUAUGGCAGAGGGUGGUGGAAUUUCCUGUGUAGCGGUGAAAUGCGUAGGUAUAGGAAGGAACACCAGUGGCGAAGGCGACUCUUUGGUCUGUAACUGACGCUGAGGCACGAAAGCGUGGGGAGCAAACAG
Molecule: ribosomal RNA, 423 nt
Filed under: uncultured bacterium
Lineage: Bacteria
Description: partial 16S ribosomal RNA
Rfam family: Bacterial small subunit ribosomal RNA
Source: RNAcentral